This 467-nucleotide ribosomal RNA is filed under the name uncultured bacterium. RNAcentral describes it as "partial 16S ribosomal RNA". It matches the Rfam family "Bacterial small subunit ribosomal RNA", at positions 28 to 507 of the family's 1533-position model. The record is from RNAcentral.
GACGAACGCUGGCGGCGUGCUUAACACAUGCAAGUCGAACGGAAAGGCCUCUUUCGGGGGGUACUCGAGUGGCGAACGGGUGAGUAACACGUGAGUAACCUGCCCUUGACUUUGGGAUAACUUCAGGAAGCUGGGGCUAAUACCGGAUAGGAGCUCCUGCUGCAUGGUGGGGGUUGGAAAGUUUCGGCGGUUGGGGAUGGACUCGCGGCUUAUCAGCUUGUUGGUGGGGUAGUGGCUUACCAAGGCUUUGACGGGUAGCCGGCCUGAGAGGGUGACCGGCCACAUUGGGACUGAGAUACGGCACAGGCUCCUACGGGAGGCAGCAGUGGGGAAUAUUGCACAAUGGGUGGAAGCCUGAUGCAGCAACGCCGUGUGCGGGAUGACGGCCUUCGGGUUGUAAACCGCUUUCGCUCAUGACGAAGCUUUGUGUGACGGUAGUGGGUAAAGAAGCACCGGCUAACUACGUG